RNAcentral lists this ribosomal RNA (397 nucleotides) under uncultured bacterium. Its description in RNAcentral is "bacterial SSU rRNA". It matches the Rfam family "Bacterial small subunit ribosomal RNA", at positions 362 to 776 of the family's 1533-position model. The record is from RNAcentral.
UAUUGCACAAUGGGGGAAACCCUGAUGCAGCGACGCCGCGUGAGUGAAGAAGUAUUUCGGUAUGUAAAGCUCUAUCAGCAGGGAAGAAAAUGACGGUACCUGACUAAGAAGCCCCGGCUAACUACGUGUCAGCAGCCGCGGUAAUACGUAGGGGGCAAGCGUUACCCGGAUUUACUGGGUGUAAAGGGAGCGUAGACGGCUAAGCAAGUCAGAAGCGAAAGGCUGGGGCUCAACCCCGGGACUGCUUUUGAAACUGUUUGGCUAGAGUGCUGGAGAGGUAAGCGGAAUUCCUAGUGUAGCGGUGAAAUGCGUAGAUAUUAGGAGGAACACCAGUGGCGAAGGCGGCUUACUGGACAGUAACUGACGUUGAGGCUUGAAAGCGUGGGGAGCAAACAGG